RNAcentral lists this long non-coding RNA (1620 nucleotides) under Homo sapiens (human). Its description in RNAcentral is "HSALNT0023026". Lineage: Eukaryota; Metazoa; Chordata; Mammalia; Primates; Hominidae. The record is from RNAcentral.
UAGUACAUAUACCUGUUUUCCAAUUCUCAGUAGCAUAGGAAACGGACUUUUCAUGGCCCAAGUUAUCCUCACGACUUGUCAGUUGAUUGGCUUUGGAACCUCUGAACCGUCCCUAGAUGGUAUUGACGCUUCACAACUGUGUGUAAAGGUUUUCAAUGGAAGGGUCAUGCAAAUAUCCCGUAGGGUAGUGAAGGAGGAAAAUUUCAUAAAUGAAGGGCAGUAAUUAUUUGUAAUCUGAAGAUCUCACAAAGCGGCUUAGUGAUAAACAUUAUCCCGAAACAGAUACAUGGAAAUCAGAUACGAGGGAAGAAAUGGAUUUGUCCAAGGUCACUUAAGUGAGGAAGAGACCUAGGAGAAACAAACAGACAAAAAUCCAGGCCUCCCGUUUCAUUAUUAUUUCAUGAAUGUUAAGUGUCCAUGGUUGCUGUGCAGAACACAUGCAAUCUCUAAUCCUAUCCUAAAAGCACAUAUGCAAUCAGCUUGGACCGAGCUGCCAGCAAAGAAUUUCCUAUAAUUCAAGCCAAGAUGAGUUAUUUUGCUUGUUUUUUGUUUUGUUUUCAGGAAACCGAAAUAUUUAUUGUUGGAUUUAUCCAGGAAGGCUGUUCUGCAUUAGUUAAAUGCAUCAUAUCUUCAAGAAAUGUUAAAUGACAUGGAUGCUUCCAGCCCUGAAGCAUCAGACUCCAGGUUCUUUGGCUUUUGGACUCUUGGAGUUACACCAGUGGUUUCCCAGGAACUCUCCAGCCUUGGGCCACAGACUGAAGUUUGCACUGUCGGCUUCCCUGCUUUUGAGGUUUUGUGACUCAGACUGAGCCAACUGGCUUCCUUGCUCUUCAGGUUGCGGACGGCCUAUCGUGGGACUUUGCCUUGUGAUUGUGUGAGUCAAUUGUCCUUAAUAAACUGCCUUUCAUAUAUACAUCUAUCCUAUUAGUUCUGUCCCUCUGGAGAACUCUGACUGCUGAUACACAUAGCAAGACCCCGUCUCUAAAAAAAAGAGAGAAAGGCACAUUGGAAAAUAGAGAAUAGAUCAAGAAAACAAUCCACUCAUAAUUCCAUUACCCUAUCACUACCACUAGUAGCAUUCCAAAAAGGUUUUCAUUAUUAAUUCAGGUUGGUGCUAUAGUGGGUACACAGGGUCAAGGGGAAGGUACCUGCAAAGUCUAAGUGAAGCAAAGACUAUCCUUUGAGAAUGAAAUUAGGAAAAAUUGUUGAGAUCAGCCCUCUAUAGCAAUGGCCCAAUCUAUGAAACUGAAAUAACUUUGCUGAGACAUUUCAGCUUUCUCAUCUGUAAAAUGGCAAUAAUACUUGAAUUCCCUCCUUUUCAGACUUGUUGUGAGAUUAAAAUAAAAUAAUAAAAAGCAACAAAUUAUAAAGUCAUUAGUAAAUGGAUGUAUCCUACUGUGUCAUGAUUAUCCAAUUUAUUUAAAUGACAUAGGCAAUCAAAUUUCAUAAUUCAGGAUUUAAAAAAUUGUACUUGGGGCCUCUCAAUUCCUUUCCUGUCUGAUUUGGUGAAAUAUAAUAGGUAGGUAGUUGGUAAAUAAGUCUUGUUUCUCACAGGUUGUAUAUAUCUAUCUGGUUGGAAAUAAAAUAAAGAUAUGGCAGACUAAUGCCUAUUUGCACGUG